RNAcentral lists this ribosomal RNA (253 nucleotides) under uncultured bacterium. RNAcentral describes it as "partial 16S ribosomal RNA". It matches the Rfam family "Bacterial small subunit ribosomal RNA", at positions 524 to 776 of the family's 1533-position model. The record is from RNAcentral.
UACGGGGGGGGCAAGCGUUGUUCGGAAUUACUGGGCGUAAAGGGCUCGUAGGUGGCCAACUAAGUCAGACGUGAAAUCCCUCGGCUUAACCGGGGAACUGCGUCUGAUACUGGAUGGCUUGAGUUCGGGAGAGGGAUGCGGAAUUCCAGGUGUAGCGGUGAAAUGCGUAGAUAUCUGGAGGAAUACCGGUGGCGAAGGCGGCAUCCUGGACCAAUACUGACGCUGAGGCGCGAAAGCUAGGGGAGCAAACGGG